This 27-nucleotide non-coding RNA is filed under the name Homo sapiens (human). Lineage: Eukaryota; Metazoa; Chordata; Mammalia; Primates; Hominidae. The record is from RNAcentral.
UAAGUGAGGCUGGCCUGCCUCUGUGUC